UGGGGAAUAUUGCACAAUGGGCGCAAGCCUGAUGCAGCAACGCCGCGUGAGGGAUGACGGCCUUCGGGUUGUAAACCUCUUUUAGUAGGGAAGAAGCGUAAGUGACGGUACCUGCAGAAAAAGCACCGGCUAACUACGUG
RNAcentral lists this ribosomal RNA (140 nucleotides) under uncultured Microbacteriaceae bacterium. RNAcentral's name for it is "partial 16S ribosomal RNA". It matches the Rfam family "Bacterial small subunit ribosomal RNA", at positions 355 to 507 of the family's 1533-position model. Lineage: Bacteria; Bacillati; Actinomycetota; Actinomycetes; Micrococcales; Microbacteriaceae. The record is from RNAcentral.